Molecule: ribosomal RNA, 426 nt
Filed under: uncultured bacterium
Lineage: Bacteria
Description: bacterial SSU rRNA
Rfam family: Bacterial small subunit ribosomal RNA
Source: RNAcentral
AAGCCUGAUGCAGCCAUGCCGCGUGUGUGAAGAAGGCCUUCGGGUGUAAAGCACUUUCAGUUGUGAGGAAGGUGGUGUCGUUAAUAGCGGCAUCAUUUGACGUUAGCAACAGAAGAAGCACCGGCUAACUCCGUGCCAGCAGCCGCGGUAAUACGGAGGGUGCGAGCGUUAAUCGGAAUUACUGGGCGUAAAGCGCAUGCAGGUGGUUUGUUAAGUCAGAUGUGAAAGCCCCGGGGCUCAACCUCGGAACUGCAUUUGAAACUGGCAGACUAGAGUACUGUAGAGGGGGUAGAAUUUCAGGUGUAGCGGUGAAAUGCGUAGAGAUCUGAAGGAAUACCGGUGGCGAAGGCGGCCCCCUGGACAGAUACUGACACUCAGAUCGCGUAAAGCGUGGGGAGCAAACCAGGAUUAGAUACCCCUCGGUAG